AAUUCAACCUAGUACGAGAGGAACCGUUGAUUCGCACAAUUGGUCAUCGCGCUUGGUUGAAAAGCCAGUGUCGCAAAGCUACCGUGCGCUGGAUUAUGACUGAACUCCUCUAAGUCAGAAUCUGAGCUAGAAGCGAUG
RNAcentral lists this non-coding RNA (138 nucleotides) under Gossypium arboreum. RNAcentral's name for it is "Eukaryotic large subunit ribosomal RNA". It matches the Rfam family "Eukaryotic large subunit ribosomal RNA", at positions 3021 to 3159 of the family's 3401-position model. The record is from Rfam by way of RNAcentral. Lineage: Eukaryota; Viridiplantae; Streptophyta; Magnoliopsida; Malvales; Malvaceae.